RNAcentral lists this small RNA (65 nucleotides) under Arabidopsis thaliana (thale cress). RNAcentral's name for it is "ATSL056280". The record is from RNAcentral. Lineage: Eukaryota; Viridiplantae; Streptophyta; Magnoliopsida; Brassicales; Brassicaceae.
AAGAAUGUGUUUUUCCUCAUCUGCGUCCAUACUAAAUGUGAGGUCGAGUAUGUCGCUCACGUCAU